Molecule: ribosomal RNA, 253 nt
Filed under: uncultured bacterium
Lineage: Bacteria
Description: partial 16S ribosomal RNA
Rfam family: Bacterial small subunit ribosomal RNA
Source: RNAcentral
UACGUAGGUGGCAAGCGUUGUCCGGAUUUAUUGGGUUUAAAGGGUGCGUAGGCGGCCUAUUAAGUCAGUGCUGAAAUAUCCCGGCUUAACCGGGAGGGUGGCAUUGAUACUGAUGGGCUUGAGUAAAGUUGAGGUAGGCGGAAUUGACGGUGUAGCGGUGAAAUGCUUAGAUAUCGUCAAGAACACCUAUUGCGAAGGCAGCUUACUGGGCCAGUACUGACGCUGAGCCGCGAAAGCCAGGGGAGCGAACGGG